This 325-nucleotide ribosomal RNA is filed under the name uncultured eukaryote. RNAcentral describes it as "partial 18S ribosomal RNA". It matches the Rfam family "Eukaryotic small subunit ribosomal RNA", at positions 1470 to 1796 of the family's 1831-position model. The record is from RNAcentral.
CCCUUAGAUGUUCUGGGCCGCACGCGCGCUACACUGAUGCAUUCAACGAGCCUAUCCUUGACCGACAGGUCCGGGUAAUCUUUGAAUCUGCAUCGUGACGGGGAUAGAUCAUUGCAAUUAUUAAUCUUCAACGAGGAAUGCCUAGUAGGCGCAAGUCAUCAGCUUGCGUCGAUUACGUCCCUGCCCUUUGUACACACCGCCCGUCGCUCCUACCGAUUGGGUGUGCUGGUGAAAUGUUCGGAUCGGCCGUUUGUCGCGGUUUCCGCGUCAUGUGGCUGAGAAGUUCAUUAAACCCUCCCACCGAGAGGAAGGAGAAGUCGUAACA